RNAcentral lists this ribosomal RNA (331 nucleotides) under uncultured bacterium. Its description in RNAcentral is "bacterial SSU rRNA". It matches the Rfam family "Bacterial small subunit ribosomal RNA", at positions 568 to 898 of the family's 1533-position model. The record is from RNAcentral.
CACGUAGACGGCUUUGUAAGUCGGAUGUGAAAUCCCCGGGCUUAACCUGGGAACUGCAUUCGAAACUGCAUGGCUAGAAUGUGGAAGAGGGAAGCGGAAUUCCAGGUGUAGCGGUGAAAUGCGUAGAUAUCUGGAGGAACAUCAGUGGCGAAGGCGGCUUCCUGGUCUGACAUUGACGUUCAGGUGCGAAAGCGUGGGGAGCAAACAGGAUUAGAUACCCUGGUAGUCCACGCCAUAAACGAUGAGAACUAGAUGUCGGGAGGGUCAGCCUCUCGGUGUCGCAGCUAACGCGUUAAGUUCUCCGCCUGGGGAGUACGGCCGCAAGGUUGAA